This 496-nucleotide ribosomal RNA is filed under the name uncultured bacterium. RNAcentral's name for it is "partial 16S ribosomal RNA". It matches the Rfam family "Bacterial small subunit ribosomal RNA", at positions 29 to 507 of the family's 1533-position model. The record is from RNAcentral.
AUGCACGCUGGCGGCGUGCCUAAUACAUGCAAGUCGAGCGAACAGACGAGGAGCUUGCUCCUCUGACGUUAGCGGCGGACGGGUGAGUAACACGUGGAUAACCUACCUAUAAGACUGGGAUAACUUCGGGAAACCGGAGCUAAUACCGGAUAAUAUAUUGAACCGCAUGGUUCCAUAGUGAAAGACGGUUUUGCUGUCACUUAUAGAUGGAUCCGCGCCGCAUUAGCUAGUUGGUAAGGUAACGGCUUACCAAGGCAACGAUGCGUAGCCGACCUGAGAGGGUGAUCGGCCACACUGGAACUGAGACACGGUCCAGACUCCUACGGGAGGCAGCAGUAGGGAAUCUUCCGCAAUGGGCGAAAGCUUGACGGAGCAACGCCGCGUGAGUGAUGAAGGUCUUCGGAUCGUAAAACUCUGUUAUUAGGGAAGAACAAAUGUGUAAGUAACUAUGCACGUCUUGACGGUACCUAAUCAGAAAGCCACGGCUAACUACGUG